AUGCUCCAGAAACUUCUGGUGUUGGUCUUUUGGAUUCAAAUGGCAUGUGAGAGCACCCAGCAGCUGGAGCAGAAUCCGCAGUUUCUACAUAUCCAGGAGGGAGGAAAUGUCACCAUGCACUGCAACUCCUCAAGCACCUUCACCUUCUUUCAGUGGUACAGACAGGAGCCCAAGGAAAGGCCUGUCCUCUUGAUGACAUUAACUAAACCUAAAGAAAUGAAGGAGCAGAAGAGAAUAAGGGCUCGGUUUGGUGAGGCAAGAAAGGACAGCUCGCUGCUCAUCACUGCAACCCAGCCUGGGGAUGCAGGCACCUACCUCUGUGCAGGGGCACAGUGCUCCAGGGUCUCCUGCUGCCUGCACACAAACCCUGCUGCAGGCCCUCAGCCUCGCAGCUGCCUCAGUCCUCCAGCUCCACCUGACACAUAUUUUCUCAUGGCGGAGAACCGUUUCUGCUGCCUUUCCAGAACAUUUCCCACAUGUGCUGGAGGACAAGAUUCAUCUGCUCUAAGACAAGCUUCUGGAAAUGAAACUCAGUACUCAAGUGAGUGGGCUUCCCAGUGGUAA
Non-coding RNA from Odocoileus virginianus texanus, 564 nucleotides. The record is from the annotation of a RefSeq genome assembly. Lineage: Eukaryota; Metazoa; Chordata; Mammalia; Artiodactyla; Cervidae.